CGCGGCCUAUCAGCUUGUUGGUGGGGUAACGGCCUACCAAGGCAACGACGGGUAGCUGGCGUGAGAGCGUGGCCAGCCACACUGGGACUGAGAUACGGCCCAGACUCCUACGGGAGGCAGCAGUGGGGAAUCUUGCACAAUGGGCGAAAGCCUGAUGCAGCGACGCCGCGUGAGGGAUGAAGGCCCUAGGGUUGUAAACCUCUUUCAGCAGGGACGAAGCGAAAGUGACGGUACCUGCAGAAGAAGCACCGGCUAACUACGUGCCAGCAGCCGCGGUAAUACGUAGGGUGCGAGCGUUGUCCGGAAUUAUUGGGCGUAAAGAGCUCGUAGGCGGCUUGUCGCGUCGGAUGUGAAAGCCCGGGGCUUAACCCCGGGUCUGCAUUCGAUACGGGCAGGCUAGAGUUCGGUAGGGGAGAUCGGAAUUCCUGGUGUAGCGGUGAAAUGCGCAGAUAUCAGGAGGAGCACCGGUGGCGAAGGCGGGUCUCUGGGCCUGACCUGACGCUGAGGAGCGAAAGCGUGGGUAGCGAACAGGAUUAGAUACCCUGGUAGUCCAUGCUGUACACGUUGGGCGCUAGGUGUGGGGACUUUCCACGGUUUCCGUGCCGUAGCUCACCCAUUAAGUGCCCCGCCUGGGGAGUACGG
This 642-nucleotide ribosomal RNA is filed under the name uncultured Actinomycetes bacterium. RNAcentral's name for it is "bacterial SSU rRNA". It matches the Rfam family "Bacterial small subunit ribosomal RNA", at positions 232 to 885 of the family's 1533-position model. The record is from RNAcentral. Lineage: Bacteria; Bacillati; Actinomycetota; Actinomycetes.